AAGAGUUCGGGCUGCACGCGCGCUACACUGACAGAGACAACGAGUGGGGCCCCUUGUCCGAAAUGACUGGGUAAACUUGUGAAACUUUGUCGUGCUGGGGAUGGAGCUUUGUAAUUUUUGCUCUUCAACGAGGAAUUCCUAGUAAGCGCAAGUCAUCAGCUUGCGUUGACUACGUCCCUGCCCUUUGUACACACCGCCCGUCGCUACUACCGAUUGAAUGGCUUAGUGAGGACUUGGGAGAGUACAUCGGGGAGCCAGCAAUGGCACCCUGACGGCUCAAACUCUUACAAACUUGGUCAUUUAGAGGAAGUAAAAGUCGUAACAAGGUAUCUGUAGGUGAACCUGCAGAUGGAUCAUUUCGAUGAAAACCUUUUUUCUGAGGUGUGGCUCGCACCUGUCUAACUAAACUUGAGCUACCUUUUUAACACGGUUGCAUCGGUUGGGCCUGUCAAACAGUGCAAUUACGCGCUGGGAGACGGUCUCGACACUUUUAACCAAACACUUUUGAUGAUCUAGGAUUUGAAUGAAGUUCAUUUUUACGAUGGAACCGACUGGUAAUGCGGUCGACUAAAUCUAAAAAACAACUUUUGGCAACGGAUCUCUUGGUUCUCCCAUCGAUGAAGAACGCAGCGAAUUGCGAUAAGUAAUGUGAAUUGCAGAAGUGAAUCAUCGAAUCUUUGAACGCACCUUGCGCUCCCUGCAGAUCUAAUCUGGGGAGCAUGCCUGUUUGAGGGCCGCGAAUUGUUUCGAACGACACCUUUUUUUUUUUUUAACAAAAAGGGGGACGGAACCGGUUUUGAGGAUUUUUGCCCUUUCCCCGGGGCUUCCCCCAAAAAGCAUUUACCGCCUCCCUUUCAAAA
This 860-nucleotide ribosomal RNA is filed under the name Ustilaginaceae sp. LM338. RNAcentral's name for it is "bacterial SSU rRNA". The stretch from base 1 to 359 matches the Rfam family "Eukaryotic small subunit ribosomal RNA", at positions 1476 to 1831 of the family's 1831-position model. Lineage: Eukaryota; Fungi; Basidiomycota; Ustilaginomycetes; Ustilaginales; Ustilaginaceae. The record is from RNAcentral.